AAAAGUUUAAAAACGGGAUUUUUUUUGUUUAUUUGAAAAUUAAGUGAUUUAAGGUUAAAAUUUUUG
RNAcentral lists this transfer RNA (66 nucleotides) under Sepioteuthis lessoniana. RNAcentral's name for it is "tRNA-Phe". Lineage: Eukaryota; Metazoa; Mollusca; Cephalopoda; Myopsida; Loliginidae. The record is from RNAcentral.